CCAGCCGCUCAGAAACUUAAAUGAAUUGACGGGACCGCACAAGCGGUGGAUGAUGUGGAUUAAUUCGAUGCAAACGCGAAAAACCUUACCUAACCCUUGACAUGCCAGGAACUUUCCAGAGAUGGAUUGGUGGCCCGAAAGGGAGCCUGGACACAGGUGCUGCAUGGCUGUCGUCAGCUCGUGUCGUGAGAUGUUCGGUUAAGUCCGCUAACGAGCGCAACCCUCGCCGUAUGUUACAAGUGUCAUACGGGACUGGCCGGUAAAAAGCCGGAGGAAGGUGAGGAUGAUGUCAAGUCAGCAUGACCUUUAUAUCCAGGGCUACACACACGCUACAAUGGUCUGUACAAUUGGUUGCCAAGCCGCGAGGCGGAGCCAAUCCUGAAAGCAGGCCUCAGUUCAGAUUGCAGUCUGCAACUCGACUGCAUGAAGCCGGAGUUGCUAGUAACCGCAGGUCAGCAAUACUGCGGUGAAUACGUUCCCGGGUCUU
RNAcentral lists this ribosomal RNA (487 nucleotides) under uncultured Anaerolineaceae bacterium. Its description in RNAcentral is "bacterial SSU rRNA". It matches the Rfam family "Bacterial small subunit ribosomal RNA", at positions 903 to 1382 of the family's 1533-position model. Lineage: Bacteria; Bacillati; Chloroflexota; Anaerolineae; Anaerolineales; Anaerolineaceae. The record is from RNAcentral.